UUUUUUUUUUUUUUUUUUUUUUUUUUUUUUUUUUUUUUGUUGCCU
This 45-nucleotide non-coding RNA is filed under the name Alexandrium minutum. The record is from RNAcentral. Lineage: Eukaryota; Dinophyceae; Gonyaulacales; Pyrocystaceae.